CUCUGCUGUUGAGGGAGGGGGUGGGCACCUAUCCAGAGCAGCUCGCUGAACUCCGAAAGAGCACCGGAUACACACGCUGCCUGCCCAGCAGGGGCCUUGUCUUUCCACCGGAGCCCCCAUCUGAUGGCCUGGCCUUCUAGAACAUUCCAUGGAUGCCAAGUCUAGUGGCCUCAUCAGUCUCCCCAGCCUGGCCCUUGCUCCCUUGCUUUCUCCUCUACUCCUUGGCCAACAUUCCCCAAGGCAGCAAACGAACCCCACAUUUAAAGACAACUGAAAGCUGAGAGGCCUGAACUCCCAACCAGACCAUCACGGAAAC
RNAcentral lists this long non-coding RNA (316 nucleotides) under Suricata suricatta (meerkat). RNAcentral's name for it is "lncRNA (ENSSSUG00005002675.1)". Lineage: Eukaryota; Metazoa; Chordata; Mammalia; Carnivora; Herpestidae. The record is from RNAcentral.